CCUUUAGUAGGAUUUCUGUCUAGCUAUGCCUCUGGAUGGGGUCGGAACCGAGCUCUAUUGGUAUGACGUUCCAAUUCUAUCAAAGAUACUUGGUGUAGGCUGCUUUUGCUCAUUCAUAGUUAUCUCCAACUCACUUUCACAUUUGCACUUGCUACACAGAACUACCCCAGCACAAAUGGUUUCCUUUGGCCUUCGAUUUACCUCUUUUGUGACUUUUCUGCCCAUGUUGGGGCUGACUUCUAUUAUCAACUCGAGGUUGGGAAAAAGGGUCUGUCGUUACUGAGGGAGGUUUCUCAGCUAGCUUUAGCCUUUCUUCCAUUAUUCCUUCUUGAAUGACGUCUCUGAAAACAACGCAACUAUUGGUGGAAUGGUUCCAAGAGUUGUGCCAUUUGCAAUAUUGUCUUCCCUUGAGUUCCUCAAGUUUGGGCAACCUGUGAGGUGUUUCUAU
Molecule: long non-coding RNA, 448 nt
Filed under: Prunus persica (peach)
Lineage: Eukaryota; Viridiplantae; Streptophyta; Magnoliopsida; Rosales; Rosaceae
Description: long non-coding RNA (PPER_LNC006997)
Source: RNAcentral